UAGGUCCCGAGCGUUGUCCGGAAUUAUUGGGCGUAAAGCGCGCGCAGGCGGUUUCUUAAGUCUGAUGUGAAAGCCCACGGCUCAACCGUGGAGGGUCAUUGGAAACUGGGGAACUUGAGUGCAGAAGAGAAAGCGGAAUUCCACGUGUAGCGGUGAAAUGCGCAGAGAUGUGGAGGAACACCAGUGGCGAAGGCGGCUUUCUGGUCUGUAACUGACACUGAGGCGCGAAAGCGUGGGG
RNAcentral lists this ribosomal RNA (238 nucleotides) under uncultured Bacillus sp. Its description in RNAcentral is "partial 16S ribosomal RNA". It matches the Rfam family "Bacterial small subunit ribosomal RNA", at positions 528 to 766 of the family's 1533-position model. Lineage: Bacteria; Bacillati; Bacillota; Bacilli; Caryophanales; Bacillaceae. The record is from RNAcentral.